UGUAUGCUUCUUUUAUAGCUUUAACUUCGCACUUUAAAGAAAAUCCUCACAGAGAAAUUUUAAUAUACUUAAACCGUAAGGUCAUCUCCUUGCUUAUUAUAGAAAGAAUAACCCUCUAUCCCUUUUGCACCAUGGAGAAGCAACAAAACCACAGAUAUCUAUUAUCCCGAAUAACUAUGAGCUACUAAAUCCUAAAACCUAAUGUAACACAAUUAGCAACACUAGUUUUUAGUAGGAGUAAUAAGCCUUACAUAUAGUCUGAUAGCUGGUUUUUCACAAAAAGCAUCAAAGUGCUACUUUAUAGAAUAAUCUUACCUUUAAGGCCUAUAAAUGUUAACCUUUUAAGGACUAGCUUAAAAGGGCCCCUAAAAUAGAUAACAUCAACACUUUUUAAGUUGGCUUAAAAGCAGCCACCUAUACAGCGUUCUAGCUAAAACACCCAACUCAACACAAUAUUAAAACUCAAUUUUAACUAAAGUGAAAUUUAAUGCUAAACACCCUAUAACAUUAGUAAACAGGCAUUCUAUUAGUAUUACCAAAAUACUUACUCUUAACUUAUCUUAAUACAAGAGAAACAAAACUAUAAUAAACACACAAAUAUAUAAAGUGAACUCGACAAUUAAGUCCCCUGCCUGUUUACCAAAAACAUCGUCUUUUGAUAACCAGCAUAAAAGAUAAUGCCUGCCCAGUGAGUUAACAUCUUAAACGGCCGCGUUAGCGUGAGCGUGCUAAGGUAGCGUAAUAAAUAGCCCCUUAAUUGAGGGCCAGUGAAAGGCAAGACUAGGGACAUUUGUACCUUUUAUACAAAAAAAACUUUUCAUCCUGGUGAAAAGACCAAGAUACUUAAGGAAGACGAAAAGACCCCGCGGAACUUUACCUUUUCCAAUCCUACGCUUAAUAAGCACAAUAAACAAAAGGUUUGAUUGGGGCAAUCUCGGAACCAACAAAGCUUCCGACUCCUUUAUAAAACUAUACAAAAUUCAAUAAAGACAAAAAAGAAGUUACCCCGGGGAUAACAGCGUAAUCCAACUUGAGAGUACACAUCGAAAGUUGGGUUUGCGACCUCGAUGUUGGCUUAAGGAUAUCCACACUAGUGCAACCGCUAUGAAAGGAUAGUCUGUUCGACUAUUACACCCUUACACGAGCUGAGUUAAGACCGGCGUAAGCUAGGUUGGUUUCUAUCUCCUUUAUUUUAGACUAUCUUCUUGAUUGUACGAAAGGACCCCAAGAGAUGCAACUAAUAACAGCACCUUGUAAGUAUAAUCAAUCAUUACACACUAUAA
This 1283-nucleotide ribosomal RNA is filed under the name Uniomerus tetralasmus. RNAcentral describes it as "16S ribosomal RNA". The stretch from base 846 to 1188 matches the Rfam family "Archaeal large subunit ribosomal RNA", at positions 2150 to 2716 of the family's 2987-position model. The record is from RNAcentral. Lineage: Eukaryota; Metazoa; Mollusca; Bivalvia; Unionida; Unionidae.